Molecule: ribosomal RNA, 492 nt
Filed under: uncultured bacterium
Lineage: Bacteria
Description: partial 16S ribosomal RNA
Rfam family: Bacterial small subunit ribosomal RNA
Source: RNAcentral
AGUGAACGCUGGCGGUAGGCCUAACACAUGCAAGUCGAACGGCAGCACAGUAAGAGCUUGCUCUUACGGGUGGCGAGUGGCGGACGGGUGAGGAAUACAUCGGAAUCUACUUUUUCGUGGGGGAUAACGUAGGGAAACUUACGCUAAUACCGCAUACGACCUACGGGUGAAAGCAGGGGAUCUUCGGACCUUGCGCGAUUGAAUGAGCCGAUGUCGGAUUAGCUAGUUGGCGGGGUAAAGGCCCACCAAGGCGACGAUCCGUAGCUGGUCUGAGAGGAUGAUCAGCCACACUGGAACUGAGACACGGUCCAGACUCCUACGGGAGGCAGCAGUGGGGAAUAUUGGACAAUGGGCGCAAGCCUGAUCCAGCCAUACCGCGUGGGUGAAGAAGGCCUUCGGGUUGUAAAGCCCUUUUGUUGGGAAAGAGAAGCAGCAGGUUAAUACCCCGCUGCUCUGACGGUACCCAAAGAAUAAGCACCGGCUAACUUCGUG